This 7027-nucleotide long non-coding RNA is filed under the name Phaseolus vulgaris (common bean). RNAcentral's name for it is "long non-coding RNA (PVUL_LNC002696)". The record is from RNAcentral. Lineage: Eukaryota; Viridiplantae; Streptophyta; Magnoliopsida; Fabales; Fabaceae.
AGAGUAAGUGAUUUCCUGUUCUUGGUCACUGCUAGAUUUAUUUCUUCUCUUGGUCUCCUUUUUCCUUGUUUCUUAAAGAACUAACUCAAAGGCCUAAAUAGUAGUAUAUUUAUGUAAAUAGAUGUUAAACAAGGACAUUUUCAAUGGAAUAACUGUAAGCACGAUUAAGAUCAAAUUUUUACAUGAUUGUGUAGUCUUGGAUUACACCAAUUAAGUUUUCUUCCUACUAAAUGUUUACAGUUUUCAUCUGAAAAUUACAUUUCAGAUAUAAAGAUGGGCAGAGUAAGGAUAUCAAGUGGACCUCAACAAAGCUGUGUGACAAAGGAUUUGUAUAUAAAUAUGAUGCCAAAAUGAUAUUGGAUGAUUGUAUCAGAUAUGCAAGAAAGAUGGGUGAAAUCUAGUGUCCAUCUACACCCUCUUUGCAUCUGCUUGUAACAUGUGGAUGUCUCUUUUUUCCCUAUCUUCAAUACUUUUGUUUUUGUCUUGUUGAUUAAAAAAAACUCAGUUCUAAAUUAAUUGAAAUAGUACUACAUUAAUUAGAAAAUAAGGACUGUGAUCAUUACUACACAGUAUCCCUGUUUACAGAAUAUUUUGUUCUAUUUAUUUAUUUACUAAGCAUUUCCCUGUAGUAUAUCAUGUUCAUUUGGUGUUUCAAUCAGUAUUGUAAUGGUUACAAGUUUUAUUACCUAUAUGUUGUUUUUUGAGUUUCCAAAAAAGAUAUCAUAUCUAGCAUUGUUUAGUUUUUUUCUAAUUUAAAGAGUUUAUGCUCUUCAUAUGGACCACUCAAACAUCUUAGUUGGUCCUUCACAUAUAUACAGGAGAGUGGUAAAGGGAUGCCUUUUUGUUGUGUAGGAAACAGUGUGGGGCCAAAUUGAUCAAUCUUUAGGAGAAAUGAUCAUUGACUAUUGAUUACACAAUUCUAGAAAUAUACCUGAACCAUGACCAGGAUUUACGAUUUAGCAAAAUAGGAGUAUCUCUGAAUUGGACUGAAAUUUAAAUCCAAUUCAAUUAAGCAUAAUAAACAAAUGGUAAGAUGCGUAAUGAACAUAAUUUAAAUGGUUUAAAAUAUAUUAUAAGUAUCUCAUCUACAGAUUCGGAGAUAGUUGACAAAUAUAAAUUUGGUUUAUUUACAUUUAAAAUAAGUGUGUUUCAAAUAAGACAUUUUUUUUAAAAUUAUUUAAUAUAUGUAUAAUUUUCUUCUAAUAAAACAGAGAAUUGGCUAUUUUCAAAAUAAACAUAGUAGACAAAUGCAUUAAAAAACAUAAAUUUAUUUUAUUAAAAAAUAUAAAUAAAUAAACCGGUCCGUAUAAAAUUACAAAAACUAACAUGUUUAUGUGUCAUUUUUAUACAAUUUUGUUUACUAUUUUAAUGUAAAAUUUAUAGAUAAAUUAUUUUAAUUAUAUAUUUUUGUUAUUUCAGUUAAUAUAUUUUGAUUGAACUAUUAUGUUAUAAAUUAUAAUAUUUUGAACUAUAAUAUUAAAAUAAUAUAAAUAGUGUAAUAGUUAGAAUAGUAUAUUAUAUUUUUUUUAAACAAUAAUAUUAAAAAUAUAUUUUCUUAUCUAUAACCAUCUGUAAUUUUAAAUAUAACCUAAAAUAAUAAAAUAUAUAUUGAAAGAAUAAUCAUUGUUAAAAUAAACUUAUAAUUUAUUCAUAAAAAAUCUUUUCAUUGGUAUAAUAGGUUUCUAUCUUGUUUGUUCUUAUAAUUCUUUAUGAAUAGGUAUAGUUUACUUUUGUAUCGUUUUUGUUAACAUAUGAGUUUUGGUCUAUUCUUCCCAUAUUUUUGUAUUUUUUUUAAUAAUAUUUGUUAUGUAAUGAGUAAUGAUUGUUGUUACUUGAGUUGUCAAAGUAAUUGAGAUUUUAAGUUGCAUAAUAAUAUAUAACAUAUUUUUAUUUAAAAAUAAAAAUAAACUUUGUAAUAUAAAAAUCAUUAAAAAUACUAGAAAGAAAAAAGUAAAUACCUAUUUUAAGAAGAGGAAAAAAAAGAGAAAAAAUAAUACAACCCUGAGUUAUGAAAAAUAGAAUAUGAAAAGGAAAUUUAAUGAAUACAUUUUAAAAUAAAAGAGAAAUAAUAUGUAAGAAAUUGAAAGUUAGCAUUUUAAAUUAAGAAAUGUUACUUGAGUUAAGAUAGUGGUGCUGUUUCAAACUAAACCCAUGUGACUUUGAUCCUGCAGUUUAAGAACACAAUCAUUUCUUUAUAUCUUAGCUUAUUAUUAUACUUUUAAAUUAUCUUACAGCAUUACAACUUGUGUGAAUACAAGUCAAUGUAUUUGUUUUAUAUUUUAAUCUUAGUUUUACUAUCUGCUUUGGAGGUCGACACUGGUGCAAAUAUUUUAUUUUAACUUGUACACAUUUUCUAGCAGUUUUAAAUAUACUUUGUUUUUUUUCUUUUGUUUUUAACUGUCAUGUCUGAAACAAUGCCGAAUUAAUUUAUUUAAUUUAUUUCAUUACAAGAAAUCCACAUAAUAUCUCACGUUUCUUAUUUCAACGUCACUUAUGUAUUUUUACUAUUAUAAUAUAUAUAUAUAUAUAUAUAUUAAAAAUGAAACUUAAAUACAUAUAUAUCCUUGUAAAAUUAUUACCAAUUACUGUAUAUUAGUAAAUAAAUUCUUAUCAUUAUACUAAUAUAUUUAUAUAUCUUUUGGCAGAGACUUUUAUCAAACUAGCACAUGCCACGAGAUCUCCAGAAUCUUCCUAUUCGAUAAGACUUUUAAGCAAAAACAAGUAUUUAAACCUAAACCUAUCCAAAUAGUGAAAUACCACCUUUAAAUCUUUAAUCAUGAUUAAAUAUUUUUUUAUUGUAUCAUUAUGAAAUUAUUUUUUUAUCAUUGGUCGACCAUUUAGUUAUUUAUAGUAUGAAAAUAAUUAAAAUUAGUUCUUAAAUAGAAUAAAUUUUAGUUUUUUUUCAAAAAUAAUAUUUUUAUAAAAAAAAAUCUUUUUGAAGUCGUUAUACUUCUUGAAGCUUUUGCAGGGCUUUUGCUCAAUGUUAAAGAUCCCUACCCUCAUCUUGCGGGGCUCCCCUUGCCCUUUCUUGGUUGGUAAAUCAACCAGCCGGAUUUCAUUAAUAAAGGGAUAAAAUUUGGUGGUUCUAAUUAUAAUUUUAAUAGGAAAACAAAAAACAUGUGUCUAUUAUAAUUAGUUUUGAUGUACUGAUGAAGUGAAAACUAAAAUGGAAUCAAUUCUACAUAUAAAAAACUUAUUUUAAUUAUUUUUAUAUUAUAAAUAUCAAAAUAAUCUAAAAUUUGAUAAGUAACUAAAGUUAAUUUAAUGUUAUAAAGUUUAAUCCUUAAAUCAUUAACUCCUUGCUGCACACAAGUUGUUUUUCUAUAGCUUCUAACUAUUAAUAAACGGAGAAACGAGAAAUAUAUUAUAAAAUUUUUAUUAAUAUUUUUGAAGGAUACAAUUGAAAUUUGAAAAUUUAUGUUGAUAUUAGAAGUUUGACACACACUUUUAAGAGUGAGUGGAAAUAAAAAAUCUUAGUAUUCUCUAAAAAGUAAAUUAAAAAUUGUACUCUCAUAGCCACGUUGAUCAGAAUACCGAAUCAUAUGACUACUCGUUCAUGAUAGGAAAAAGAUCACAUGAUCGAUCAAGCUCAUGAUGACGAGACAUGGUGACCAAGUCAACAGGGCUAACCCAGAUUAAUGGUUGUUUAACGCAACCCUAAACACGAACCAACCUCUUAAUCUGGCCCACUAACAAAGACUCAUUAAGGUAAUAUAAAUAACGCGAAUUUCAAGAAUGAGGUACAUCAUUAUCUAACUAACAACCGAGUGUUGACACCUUGAAACUUGAUCGUCGGAGUGCUCUAAGCCUGUACUACCAGAUGGCCGAGAAAAGAAAGGUGAAGCAGGAAGCCGAGUGCGAAAACGACCGACCGAGUGGAAACAAAAUAAUCGUUCUUUAUGUCCCAACAAUCGUUCAAGAAUAAAUAUUUAAUAAAUUAAAGCGUAUGUGCUAAAAUAUAUAUUACCGAACCGAUACUGUUGGUGCAGUGGAGGCCAGCCACUGAACUACAGAAGGCAUGGAAAAGUACUUGUAAUGGCUCCGGCCAUGUCUAUUAUUUAUGCAUAUAUCUGUGUCGUUCUGGUUUGUUAAUUUCUUUUAUAAUUAUUACAUUCCAAGACUUUAAAAUGGGAAUGGUGAUGGAAUAAAAAUUGUUUUAACAUUGCGUGUACCGCUGUUUUACUCUUACUAAAAAAAUGAUAGGCGGCUUCUUCUAAGAGAUUAAUCAAGGACGAACACACUAUGAAAAUUUAGUUCUAAACAUCACUUUAUUAUAUAAUAAAUUAAAUAGAUUCAUGCAUUUUUACUGAAAUCUGCAAGAGGGUACCAAUUCAAAAUAUAACAGUCCACUCGUGUUUGAAGAGUGUUUUGGCAGUAUUUGUGAGCCAGGAAAUCCACUUUAUAAACCACUCCAACUUCAGUUCAAGUUGUAACUGUUUGUAGUGUAUACUUAUCUGUGUAAAGAGAAUAAAAAUGGGGGAAGGGAGCAAGGUAUGUGUCACAGGAGGCAGUGGUUACAUAGGUUCCUGGCUCGUCAAGAAGUUACUGGCCAAGGGUUACAUUGUUCAUGCAACUGUCAGAGACUUGAGUUAGUAUUCUCUCUCUUUCUCUUUCUGCACACUAUGUAUGUUCUCUUGUGAAUUUUGAUUCGUAUUUUGGAACAUAAUCAACAGAGAACGAGUCCAAGGUAGGGCUCUUAAAGAGCCUUCCUCAUGCAGAAGCCAAUCUGGUUCUGUUUGAAGCUGAUAUUUACAAUCCAACUCAAUUUGAUCCUGCAAUUCAAGGAUGUGAGUUUGUGUUUCAUGUUGCUACUCCCCUCGCCCAUGAACCAGAUUCACCUCAGGUUCGCCUGUCUAACUCUAUACAUAACUAAAUCUGUUUAAAACAUGGCAUAAGAGUCUUGACAGAUUAUAGUUUUAACAUGUUAAUAGUAUAUAUGAGUGAUGUGAUGAUGUAUAAUGCAUACAUCGCAGUACAAGGAUACUUCAGAAGCAGCAGUUGCAGGGGCAAAAAGUAUUGUGAUGUCUUGUGUGAGAUCAGGGACGGUGAAACGUCUGAUCUACACUGUGUCUGUUGUUUCAGCCUCUCCACUGAAAGAAGAUGGGAGUGACUUCAAAGAUGUGAUGGAUGAAACUAGCUGGACCCCUCUCAAUGAUUCCUUGGAAUACGUUUACCUUGAUCCUAUGUACAAGGUUAGUUGUCAGCUUUAAAUUCUUCAAUUUGUUUCAAAGAAAGCAUUCGGAUUUUUGCUACUCCUUGCUGUGUCAUUUGCACUUCUUUUUGUUGUCUGGGUUAUAAUAGGUAAGUAAAGAAACAAGACAUGUGAUAGAAACAAAGAUAUAAACAUUUAUGAUACAGAUGAAUUGAAAAAGGUAGAAGAUUUUUUUUCCAUUCGUUUUAACCAAUGUAAAAGAGGAUAAGAUAAACAAAAUUAUAUAAAUAAAUGAAAUAGAAAACAGAAAAAGUAAAUAAAACAAGAAAAAGGUGCUAGUAACGGUCAUAGGCAAUGUGAUUUAUUGUUGGAGAUGUCAAAACUCUUACUAAUAUGGCUGAGACUUAAUCAAAGGAACUUUCUAACUUUUUUCUAAGUUUCUCAAGAGAAACUCGAGAGGCAGUCACCUCCAAAAAAAACAUCCCUCGGUGGAGAACGUAAAACAAGAGUAUUCCUAUUUUUAAGACUUAGAAGAAAAAGACAUGCAAAAAUGCAACAUCCAUUCUUAUUGGAAUUCAAAGUACAAAAGUGAAUGAAAAUUUCAUCUUUUAUUUUUUUGUAAUGUUUAGUUAGGUUUAAAGUCUUAUUCUUAUGAUGAUAUUAAAGUUUAUCCUAAUGAGACCUUGUACCUAUCGUGUCACUUGAUAUCGAAUCACCCAUAAAUAUCUAGUCUCACACAUUAAUCGCUUGGAGUGAGGGAGUAUUUUGAAGAUCUCACGACAAUUAGAUAUAAAGUCAAUUCAUAAUAUAUAAGUGAGUUCAAAUCUUAUUUUACAAACCAGUUGGUUUUAUAAGAUUAAAGUCCACUACUUAAGAUGGUAUGAGAGUCAUUUAAAUCAUAUCCUAGUAAAAGUUUGUUGAUGAAAUAAUAAAUUUAACUUAGGAGUUAGGAUACAAGUCAUCCAAAUUCAUUAUUGAUAUUAAGUCUCAUGUACUACAAAUCAAUCUUCGGAAUUUCAUCGGUUGAUUUUCUUACAUCAUUGAGAUUGUUUAUUGCUAUUGUUCAUAUACAAGAAUGAAAUAUGAUACAGAGGUGCAAAUGUCCAAAUGUUGACUUUAUUGUAUUGGCCUUAUAUUUCAAGGACUAUACUUAUUCAAAGACACUGUCUGAGAAACAUCUGUUGAGCUAUGGGAAUGAUGAAAAUGGUGGAGGAUUGGAGGUGGUAACACUUGUUUGUGGACUAGUGGGAGGUGACUGCCUUGUACCGUCUACACUCGGUAGCAGAAUAGUUUGUAUUGCACAGAUCGUGCAAAAUGAAAUAUCCUACAAAUCACUCAAGUUCCUAGAUGGAUUGCUGGGUAAAGUACCUCUUGUACACAUUGAUGACGUCUGUGAAGCUCAUAUUUUCUGCAUGGAAAGCACUUCCAUCAGUGGAAGAUUCUUGUGUGCAAGUUCUUACAUUUCAUUACAAGAGAUGGCUAACCAUUAUGCUCUUUAUCAUCCAGAAUUCACCGUCAAACAAGAGUAAGUGAUUUGAUUUCCUGUUCUUAGUUACUGCUAGGUUUAUUUCUUCUCUUGGUCUCUUUUGUUUGUUUCUUAAAGACUAACUCAAAGGCCUAAAUAGUAGUAUCUUUUAUGCAAAUAGAUGUUAAAUAAGGACAUUUUCAAUGGAAUAACUUUAAGCACGAUUAAGAUCACAUUUUUACAUGAUUUUAUAGUCUUGGAUUACACCAAUUAAGUUUUCUUCCUACUAGUUGUUUACAGUUUUCGUCUGAAAAUUACAUUUCAGAUAUAAAGAUGGGCAAAGGAAGGAUAUCAAGUGGACCUCAACAAAGCUGUGUGACAAAGGAUUUGUAUACAAAUAUGAUGCCAAG